Molecule: long non-coding RNA, 1036 nt
Organism: Labeo rohita (rohu)
Lineage: Eukaryota; Metazoa; Chordata; Actinopteri; Cypriniformes; Cyprinidae
Exons: 4
Source: RefSeq, a predicted model, not a curated record
UACACGAUACUAUCAGUGCCGUUACUUGCUUAGCUCGCUAGUUUUAUGAGAUUAAUUGAAAUAAGCGCAAAAAGUAUGAUGUUUACGAAUAAAUUAUCAGUAUUUCCGUUCCAAAGAUAACAUUCAACACGAAUCUACGAACAUAUUCAGGGUGUUCUUUACCGGACGGUGAACAUGCAGCGAUGGGAGCAGCCUACAAAACAGCACCAAAAGCGCAGGGCCCGGAAAGCAUCGCUGAGCAGAGAUGAUGUUUAUCUGGAAAGGAAGAUCCUCCCUGCAUCAAUCUGCCAAUAAAGACAGUGAUGUCCUGGACCUUGCAGACAUGGAAGGAAAUACAUAAACACUGCAAAGAAAACUGCUCUUGUCAAGCCGUUUCCCAGGGUCCUUAACGCACUGAGAGCAGGGACAAUGCACAGCAGGUAGGCAGCUGCGGAGAUGAGUGAAGACUGGCGUUUCAGAAGACAGCGUGUCGUAUGUGCUAUCCCUCUCAAGUGUGCAAGAAUGAGUGAUGCUUGAAGUGCAUGUCUGGUCCUCUCUGGGGUGCGCGCAAACGUAUGAGUAUGCGCAAAGUAGUACACAAACACACAACCGCAAAGCUUCUUAUGAACAGCUGGACUGUGACUGGAUCGCUGUGGUUUCACAUGGCUUAGGAGAAUGACUGGCAUUAAUGCUGUGUUUGUCUUCUCUUGAUUGUGUUGCGGUUUGAUUUGCAGAGGAGUCUGUGGCUUGUUUUUACAGCACCGUGUUGUUUGUGUUGUUUGUGUUGGCACAUACAUUAAAGUAUUGAACAUUUAAUACUGUUAUUUCCCAUGGGAAAAAAAGAGAUGUUAGUUGUUACAGUGAAAGUUGCCAAAUGCUUGAUGUAUGAUGUAAACAAACAAUUGUGAAUCACUGAACUAUUUGUGAAGAAGCUAAAUUGUUUUUAUAUGGAAACCCUUUUCCACCACUGAAUAAAAAAAAGGGUAAUUACGACUUUUUAUCUUGCAGUUCUGACUUUUUUUCUCACGACUGCCAAUUACAAAGUCAGAAUUGCGAG